Molecule: long non-coding RNA, 1402 nt
Filed under: Homo sapiens (human)
Lineage: Eukaryota; Metazoa; Chordata; Mammalia; Primates; Hominidae
Description: non-protein coding lnc-PRMT9-1:3
Source: RNAcentral
AGAAAGAAGAGCAGGUGCGUGGAAGUGGGUGGAAUUGCCGCAGAUGGUCCAGCGGGCUAUUGCAAGGAUUCUGGAAGCUGCGGGAAUUAUUUGAGGACACUUGAAGCACACCUACUACAUUCUUCUGCUGGCGUUAUUCCAGUUUAAAGAAAGCUUGGGUAAGGGGCGGUUACUUCAGAGUUGGACUGGAAGAGAGAAGGCCCAUCUCUACACAAAACAUCCCCUAUUCAAUCUAGAGUGGAUACAGAAGCCCGCUGGAGUAAGAAGACAAGGAAGAAUGGGAAACCUCCACCUAGUUUUCUGUCAGUUGCUAGAAUCUAGGGGCUAGGCCGCUUGGUUAUUUCUGGAUCCUACAGAAGGAUCAUUCUAAAGGUAGCUUCAUUUUAGAAUUAACCGCAAAUAGGGAAUGUCCCUUCUACAUUUGGAACUUGUGUUAAAAAUUUGCACUCAUUUAAGUUUUAAAAAGUUGACAUUCCAUCUGACAAAGGAGUUUCAUAUGCUUAAAGCCUUUAGCUAAACCAAUAGAGUAAACAAAUAUCUACUACUCAAUUACAUAUACAAAUGCGUUUUAUAUUGUAAUUGUAAUUUUCAGGGGGACAGGCACUGUACUAAGUUCAUUACCUACAUUAUGUAAGUUGUUCUGCACAAAAAUUUUGAGAGGUAGGCAUUUUUCCACUUUACAGAUAAAAAAGUCAAGUGGCUGAUAAAUUUGCCCAGGCUCACUGAGCUAGUUAAGUGGUAGUGUGGAGAUAGCAACCUUGGUCUUUGUGACUCCAAAGGGCAUUAUAUUUAAGCAUUUGACCUGCUAGUACCUGCCACCUGGGGAAUUUCCGCCUAAUGACCAUACGGAUAAGGAGGCUUGUAACAUUGAGUACACCUAGCCCAGGAGUCUCACAGAGACACCUAAGGAAUAUUAUGAGCCCCUUUUUUGGUAUCGUCUGUUUGGACUUGACUUCACUGCCUACUUCUCAGUUGUUAACAUUUGUAUUUUACAACCUGACCCAAACUACUUUCUACCGGAAAAAUAGGCCUUAUGUUUGUUCUUCCUAAGCUUACUUUAAAAAUGGAAAUUAAGGCUGGGUGCAGGGGCUCAUGCCUGUAAUCCCAGCAGUUUGGGAGGCGGAGGUGGGCGGAUCAUGAGGUCAGGAAAUCGAGACUAUCCUGGCUAACACAGUGAAACUCCGUCUCUACCAAAAAUACAAAAAAUUAGCCAGUUGUGGUGGCGGGAGCCUGUAGUCCCAGGUACUCAGGAGGCUGAGGCAGGAGAAUGGCGUGAACCCGGGAGGCGGAGCUUGCAGUGAGCCGAGAUCAAGCCACUGCACUCCAGCCUGGGCGACAGAGCGAGACUCUGUCUCAAAAAAUAAAUAAAUAAAUAAAUAAAUAAAAUUAAUUAAAAAAAAUU